CAGGAUUUUUUCUCGGAUGAAUUAGUAUAUAUAUAUAUAUACAUACAAUGAGGAAAUUAAACUGCAUAAUGCAGACUAAUUCUUAAGGAUAUGUUCCCAGGAUCAAUACCUUGGGACUAAGGUUUAGCCUAGGCUUGGCUUGGAUGGGCGUAUCGUAUGUUGAUUACCAAGCGGCAGAUUAUGGCCCGUUGCUAUCUGCGUACUUGGCUUACAAGCGCUGUGGAAGGCUCUGCUUCCAGGGAGCCAGAACGAUUGGUGUGGCGGCAAUCAGCAUUUGGUUCAAGUUUAAUGCACUUUUUGCGCAGCAGCAAAUUCCCAACACUCCACAUAUAAUAGUACAUAUCUCAUCUAAGUAUUGACACUGGCAAUCUGGCGGCACUGGCGGCAUGCCGGACCGGACUCGCUUCUACAUACAAAAGAAGAGAGACAGCGACAGCAACAGCAACAGAUACAGAUACGGAAUGAAAAGCUAAGUAAACAAUUUGUUGCUGGCUUGAGUUUUGACACAAUUCUAUGCGGGAAUCGAUCCGGCCCAAGCGAAUCUCUCAAUCACCUGGCAUUGCUGCUAAAAUGCUUGUAAAGGAAAAGAUCUUUUAUCCCUCCGACUAAAAUAUGUCCCUGCAUGUUCCCUGAUUGGGCCACUUUCAGGCUCAAGAAGAUUCACAGUAAUACGUUUACCUAUUUGUUGUGGGAUUUACUGAUAAGAACACUUCUAUACCGAAGC
RNAcentral lists this small RNA (724 nucleotides) under Drosophila pseudoobscura pseudoobscura. RNAcentral's name for it is "GA32654". The record is from RNAcentral. Lineage: Eukaryota; Metazoa; Arthropoda; Insecta; Diptera; Drosophilidae.